GACGUAGGGCGCGAGCGUUGUCCGGAUUUAUUGGGCGUAAAGAGCUCGUAGGCGGCUUGUCGCGUCGACUGUGAAAACUCGGGGCUCAACUCCGAGCUUGCAGUCGAUACGGGCAGGCUAGAGUUCGGUAGGGGAGACUGGAAUUCCUGGUGUAGCGGUGAAAUGCGCAGAUAUCAGGAGGAACACCGAUGGCGAAGGCAGGUCUCUGGGCAUUAACUGACGCUGAGGAGCGAAAGCAUGGGGAGCGAACAGG
This 253-nucleotide ribosomal RNA is filed under the name uncultured bacterium. RNAcentral describes it as "partial 16S ribosomal RNA". It matches the Rfam family "Bacterial small subunit ribosomal RNA", at positions 524 to 776 of the family's 1533-position model. The record is from RNAcentral.